Molecule: ribosomal RNA, 491 nt
Filed under: uncultured bacterium
Lineage: Bacteria
Description: bacterial SSU rRNA
Rfam family: Bacterial small subunit ribosomal RNA
Source: RNAcentral
AUUGAACGCUGGCGGAAUGCUUUACACAUGCAAGUCGAACGGCAGCACGGGAGCUUGCUCCUGGUGGCGAGUGGCGAACGGGUGAGUAAUGCGUCGGAACGUGCCGAGUAAUGGGGGAUAACGCAGCGAAAGUUGUGCUAACACCGCAUACGCCCUGAGGGGGAAAGUGGGGGAUCGCAAGACCUCACGUUAUUCGAGCGGCCGACGUCUGAUUAGCUAGUUGGUGGGGUAAAGGCCUACCAAGGCGACGAUCAGUAGCGGGUCUGAGAGGAUGAUCCGCCACACUGGGACUGAGACACGGCCCAGACUCCUACGGGAGGCAGCAGUGGGGAAUAUUGCACAAUGGGCGAAAGCCUGAUGCAGCAAUGCCGCGUGUGUGAAGAAGGCCUGCGGGUUGUAAAGCACUUUCAGUAGGGAGGAAACAGUAGCCGGUUAAUAUCCGGUUGCCUUGACGUUACCUACAGAAGAAGCACCGGCUAACUCUGUGCCAG